This 210-nucleotide long non-coding RNA is filed under the name Elaeis guineensis (African oil palm). Its description in RNAcentral is "long non-coding RNA (EGUI_LNC027813)". Lineage: Eukaryota; Viridiplantae; Streptophyta; Magnoliopsida; Arecales; Arecaceae. The record is from RNAcentral.
CUUAUCCUGUUUAUGUAUUGCUGUAUAGUUUGUGGUACAUAAAAAUGGAGAAUUUGAUGAAAAAUGAGAAGAAGCCUUUCACCUAGAUCCCAUGUGAAUUAACCCACAUCUAAUAACUUUCCUUAAUUUUUAAUAAAUGUACUGAAGCAAUAGUACUAGUAACUACCAUGAAGCAAUGGUAGCUGUGUCUAAUAGAGUUUUAAUAUUCAC